CAAGCAUGCAGCCCUUUGCCCUGGUUUCCCCCCAUUUCUCUCCUCUUAAAAGCACUAUUGUCAUGUUGGACAAAAGGCACUCACACAUAGUUUGAGUUAAGAACCUAAUGCAAUUUGUUGGAAUAUGUUGGAGAGCUAACAUCUGUCUGGUCAUUGCAAUUUUUCUGCUCAUGCAUGCAGGCAUACUGGAGCAAUCAGCUUCUCUGAGUGACGGUAACAGUAGCUGACAUCUUUGAGCCAUGUGCCAGGCAUUCUGCUAACCACUUUGCAUGCAGUCUCAUUUAAUCGUCACAGUCCGGUGAGAGAGAUGCCCAUUUUGCAGAUGGAAAAACAAAAAUUUAGAGAAGUUGACCAAAGUCACAUUAUCUGGAAGGUGACAGAGCCCAAGCCAGGUCAGCCCUUUUCCUCACCCUGUGAUACAAUGUUUAAAAGGGGACAUCUCUGAGGGUGAAAUGGGAUACUGCUGCUAUUUUUACAGGGAUGACAGUAAUAAAUCAGAGUGUAGAUGAAGACAUCUGUUUACUCUGACUAUAAGCUCUCUCCGAGGGGCGCUUUCCAUCAUUGAGACCUAAAGGAAGACUUUGGGGUCCUUUCUGAGGUCCUUUCCCCAAGGUUGGAAAGUCCUUAGCUUCUAAUCAGAUUUAAUUUUUACUUAAAGGAGGCAUUGUUUCCACGAAUGUGUCUACUGAUGGCAUGCUAUAUAAACAUGUAAGAACUGUACCCAGUCCCUCUCUGUUUGUAUUAGAGAGAUUCAGUUGUGCGUGUACUAUGGGCUGUGUGUUUUGAUGGGUAGUGGGAAAAUGAAGAUGAAAAGACAUGGUUCAUGCCUGCAAGGAAUUUAUAGUCUAGUGUGGGGACGAAAACCAAUGGUUAAACAGAACAGGGUGAACAGAGCUCUGAAGAGAAGCAGAGAUGUCCAGAUGCCACGGGCCCACAGUUGGGGGAGUCUGUCAGGGGCGGAUAAGGGAAGCCCCAGAAAGAGGGUCACAUGGUGGGGUUUUCUAUGGAGCAUAGCUGGGAGGGGCAGAGACCAGAGACACAGGAUGGACAUCAGGUGGCAGCCUCAGUUAUUCCGUGAGAGAUGACCGGCUGGGGCCAUGAGGAUGGAGGGGAGAGAAGAGAAAUGAACGGAACGGAAGGGGGAGAGUACACAGAAGCAUGAUGAUUUAUGGGAUGUGCGGGGUGAUGGGGUGACAAGACCCGUCCUCCCAGUUUUGGCUUCUCACUUCGCCUGUGUGUUUGUCUCCUCCAUUUCUAGUGCCAGAAUCCAGGAGGUCUCUAGUUAUGUACUGGGCAGAGAAUGGCAGAGGAGAGCAAGUAUUGAAAGCAGCUCAGAUUCCCUGUCUGUCAAGUAGAGAUGAUAAUCCUCCCAGUCCACAGGGCUGUUGGGGAGCCACAAGGGGAGCCUAAAGCGUAAAAUAUAACAUAAACAACAAUCUGCUAUUACAGUUAAUGUGAAUGGUUACAGUCUUCAUUCUGGAUGUACCUGAAAUAAAAUGACGAUGAUGCUGAUGGUGGCGGUGGUCAUAGUCGUUAAUGGCUGAGUUGGCACUUCAUAGGUUCCUGACGCUGUUCUCCAGGCUUGAGAUGUGUUGACACAUUUCAUUUUCACAAUAACCUCAUUUCACAGAGAAGGAAACUGAGGCACAGAGAAGUUGGCCAGUGAUGGAAGGUCACAGCUAUUUAGUGGCCUAAAAUGGGAUUGGGUGCAGGUCCCUGGCUCCUCUUCUUCUUUUUUUUUUUUUUUUUUCCCUCCUAUCUUAUCUGUGUCAGAUCCCAAGUACAAUCUAGUCAUUAGUUUGCAUCCAGUUUUUCUCUGGUGACCAGGGAGAUUUCCUGCCUGGGUACUCUGCCCUGGCUGCCAGCUUUCCAGCCGGAGUUCCUGUCCUCACUUAAUAUUAACCUCGUUUAACUCAAGUGUGCUAACAUCUCCCUUGCUGGAAGCCUGGUCCUUUAAGUGAUGGUAGACUGCGAUUACCGAGGGGUACGGGGAAUAGGGCCUGAGGUUUAGGUCUCUGGUGACUGUUUCACGAUGAAGAUCAAUACCUGUUCUUUCCAUGAUCCACCCCCCCAUCCCACCCCCUGCUCCCAGAAAAAGGAAAUGGGGCCUCUGCUUAUGAUGGAAGAUGGAAGAUGAGGAGGGAGGGUUAGGUACAGGAAAGAGAAACUACCUGCUGAGAGGAGGACAAGGAGAAAGUGAAAUAGUAGGGACUAAGAAGUAGGAGUUAGAUGCUGCCUUUCUGACUGAGUGGAUGAAUGAAUGAAAGAACAAAAUUUUAAAUGCCUGCUGUGUUCCAGGCAAGCUUAGGCUUUAUCCUGUCAAUUAUCUCAGUUAAUCCUGGCAACAGUUCCACCCUUUGUUGAAGGGAAUGCAGCCUGACCAUUUUCUUAUGGCUGUGUUCUUGUAAGCCUUUUAUUUCUGACAGCCCACAGCCACACACUGUGAUUUCAGAUUUUUCUUCUGGCUGGGUCCAAGGGUUCUUGAGUAGACAACUUUGCUGGGAAUUUUCAAGCUGCUCAGCUUUCCCCAGCUUUGUGCUUGACUGUUCUCCCCUCCUUUGUAAAAAUGUCUGUGGCUUUCAUGCCUAUCAUCCUUAGAUCCUUUUAACAAGACCUUCAAAAGCUGUAAAGCACAAUGAUGCAUGUGACGGAUGGUGCAAGGAAGGUAGUAAAAAGAAAGUUCUCCAUCCCUGCUGAGUCCUAGGAAGGAAAGAGUGUGAAUAAUGGGUUAAGUAGAGCUCUUAAGUUAUAAAAGUCACAAUUAUAGAUGCGUGUAAUUUUUAGCACAGAGAUUUAUUAAUUUGCAUUCAGAUCAUUAGAGCCAAUUAGCAGCUUCAGCUUCUCCCGCGACACUUUAAGUCUUUACCCUUUACUUUCCUUGUGAGCCCCAGAUCACACCUUCACAGACGAAGGCUCAAAACCAACCUCUGGUAUUAGUAUCUAGAAAAAGGGAGUCAUGCACUGCAGCCCCCUGCUCCUGUGCAACCAUGCCCAGAAGCUUCUUCUUGUUCUUUGUCUCUCUUUUUCUAGCCACUGGGGGCUUUUUCUUUAACUCUAUUUACUAUUCAUCAGAGAGCCCAUUGGUAGCAGUAUCCAUAGGAAUUAAGAAAGAAAAGGAGAAGGAGUGAAAACUGCCUUUGGUCCUCCUUUUCCUACCCAAGUGAGGCCCCUAUUAUUUUCAGGAAAGGAAAAGGACAGAGGAGCAACAGAAAUUCUGUUUGAAAACCUGACUUCUCAUGUUGGGCCACAGGUGAGACUCCGGGAUUUCCUCAUUCACUUCCCCACUUCCUUGGCACCGGCAUCUGUAAGAAACCCACAUUCAGUGAACCCUGAGAAACAUUAACGAAAGUCUCCUUCGUUUUUAAGUGUUCGCCUGUGGAAUGGUGCAGGUCAGCUCAUCAGUCAACAUUCUUUGGGAACUCACCGUAACUACUAUAAAUUGGUUGGCUGCCCAUUUCUUCCUGUUGCUUUUGCUCUAUUCCAGUUACGUUAUAAACUCUCUUUGAGUCGCAAGCCAUAGAGUCUGUGUUCCUUAUUGCUGCUAGCCAUUGCAUCUUCAUAAAUAAUUUUAAAAUGAGUCUAAGAAUCUAUCACACCCACACUGAUUGUCUUUAUUCCCGGGUUAUUGCUGGAUUCUCCCUGGUUCCCAUUCCCAAGUGGUUGAGAAUGGAUGGGGACCUCCCGCCAGUGGUGUUGCUGGACGUGUGCACUGACCGAUGAGCUCGGUGUCGAAGGCGCUUUACCUUCACUGUGGCCUCAGCUUUGUCAGGAUCCGUGUAUCUUGGAUCCCUUGUUAAUUUCCUGUCGGUUUCGUUAACAUGGCUGUUUCUGACCUUCUCCAUGCUAAAGCUCUCACCAUCCCCAGCUUCCUCUCUCUUAGCAGAGGAUCUUACCAGCCACAACUCUAGAAAAAAAUGUAAGGUUCUCAGGCUUCGUCUGCGCCCUCCCGUAUAUCUUCAGGGUGCUCUUAAUUAAUCCAUCCUUCUCUCCUUCCUAAGUUUGCAUGGCUGAACAGUCUGUGUGUGCUCUUCACAAGCUGGCCUCUGCUUAAUGCUCCGGCUGCAGCUUUUGCAGAUACUCACACUCCGUUUUGUCUCCCCCACCACCUUGACCAUUUGCAUUUCUUCAAGUAAGCCUGGGAGUAAACACCUCCACCCACUGUGAACAGACACCUCCACCUCUGCGGAAAGGGUUUCAUUCUUCCUUAUCUUGUCUUUUUUUUUUUUUUUUAGGUCCUCACCUGAGCAGAUGCAGGCUAGGGGUUGAAUCAGAGCUGUAGCCACUGGCCUACACCACAGCCACAGCAACAUCAGAUCCAAGCCUCGUCUGUGACCCACCCGACAGCUCAUGGCAGCACCAGAUCCUUAACCCACUGAGGGAGGCCAGGGGUCGAACCUGAAUCCUCAUGGAUGCUAGACAGAUUCGUUUCCACUGAGCCAUGACAGGAACUCCCACACUUCCUUACCUUAAUGCGGCUCUGAAGUCUGGGUUCUACAUAUGCCUCCCAUAGGCUCCCAAAUCCUCUGUGCAUAUUACCUUAGCACUAAUCACCCCAUAUUCCAAUUGCCUGUAAACUGCCUCAUCUAGUCUUUUUUUUUUUCUUCUUAUCUAAUUUUAUACUGCUGCAUCUAGAGUAGUGACUGGUACAUAUGUGUCAAGAAUUAUGCAUUGAGGAGUUCCUGCAGUGGCACAGUGGUUUAAUGAUCCAGCUCAUCUCUGUGAAGGUGCUGGUUCGAUCCCCAGACUGGCUCAGUGGGCUAAGGAUCCAGCAUUGCUGCAGCUGUGGUGUAGGCUGCAGCUGCCCUUGGAUUAGAUCCCUGGCCUGUGAACUUCCAAAUGCUGUGGGUUCAU
Molecule: long non-coding RNA, 4851 nt
Filed under: Sus scrofa (pig)
Lineage: Eukaryota; Metazoa; Chordata; Mammalia; Artiodactyla; Suidae
Description: lncRNA (ENSSSCG00000053318.1)
Source: RNAcentral